UACGUAGGGUGCGAGCGUUGUCCGGAAUUAUUGGGCGUAAAGAGCUUGUAGGCGGUCUGUCGCGUCUGCUGUGAAAAUCCGGGGCUCAACCCCGGACUUGCAGUGGGUACGGGCAGACUAGAGUGUGGUAGGGGAGACUGGAAUUCCUGGUGUAGCGGUGAAAUGCGCAGAUAUCAGGAGGAACACCGGUGGCGAAGGCGGGUCUCUGGGCAGUUACUGACGCUGAGGAGCGAAAGCGUGGGGAGUGAACAGG
This 253-nucleotide ribosomal RNA is filed under the name uncultured bacterium. RNAcentral describes it as "partial 16S ribosomal RNA". It matches the Rfam family "Bacterial small subunit ribosomal RNA", at positions 524 to 776 of the family's 1533-position model. The record is from RNAcentral.